AGCGAACGCUGGCGGCAGGCCUAACACAUGCAAGUCGAACGGACCCUUCGGGGUGAGUGGCAGACGGGUGAGUAACGCGUGGGAACGUGCCCUUCAGUUCGGGAUAACCCAGAGAAACUUGGGCUAAUACCGGAUACGUGCGAGAGCAGAAAGAUUUAUCGCUGAAGGAUCGGCCCGCGUCUGAUUAGCUAGUUGGUGGGGUAAUGGCCCACCAAGGCGACGAUCAGUAGCUGGUCUGAGAGGAUGAUCAGCCACAUUGGGACUGAGACACGGCCCAAACUCCUACGGGAGGCAGCAGUGGGGAAUAUUGGACAAUGGGCGCAAGCCUGAUCCAGCCAUGCCGCGUGAGUGAUGAAGGCCUUAGGGUUGUAAAGCUCUUUCGUCCGGGACGAUAAUGACGGUACCGGAAGAAGAAGCCCCGGCUAACUUCGUGCCAGCAGCCGCAGUAA
Molecule: ribosomal RNA, 449 nt
Filed under: uncultured bacterium
Lineage: Bacteria
Description: partial 16S ribosomal RNA
Rfam family: Bacterial small subunit ribosomal RNA
Source: RNAcentral